UACAGAGGGGGCAAGCGUUAUUCGGAAUUAUUGGGCGUAAAGAGCGUGUAGGCGGCCAGACAGGUCCGUUGUGAAAACUCGAGGCUCAACCUCGAGAUGUCGAUGGAAACCGUCUGGCUAGAGUCCGGAAGAGGAGUGUGGAAUUCCUGGUGUAGCGGUGAAAUGCGCAGAUAUCAGGAAGAACACCUAUGGCGAAGGCAGCACUCUGGGACGGUACUGACGCUGAGACGCGAAAGCGUGGGGAGCGAACAGG
This 253-nucleotide ribosomal RNA is filed under the name uncultured bacterium. RNAcentral's name for it is "partial 16S ribosomal RNA". It matches the Rfam family "Bacterial small subunit ribosomal RNA", at positions 524 to 776 of the family's 1533-position model. The record is from RNAcentral.